This is a long non-coding RNA of Cercocebus atys (sooty mangabey), 624 nucleotides long. RefSeq lists it as uncharacterized. The record is from RefSeq and is a predicted model, not a curated record. The transcript is spliced from 4 exons. NCBI's taxonomy places the organism in Eukaryota, Metazoa, Chordata, Mammalia, Primates, Cercopithecidae.
AGCCGCAUAAGGCUAGUGAUUAGAAACGCCAGCUCUAAAGCACAGGGAAGAAGAGGAGGAUUGUAAUCUGGAGAGGGUCAAGCUCUUCUAGGCAAGGCCAACCAGCUAUUGUGAUUAAAGUUUCACGAGUUUUGGGAAAAUAAAAAUGGCUGAAUUCCACGCCUGCGUCAAGGUGGAAGAAGAGGGUCGAGAAGUGCCAUGGAUGAUGACGUUUUCAUGAGGUCAAGUUUAAUAGAAGAAACCUGGUACCACAAGUGACAGUGAUAAAGUACAUCCCAGGAUGCACAGGGAUUUUGGAGACGACCUCAAGCUCCCCGUGAAAUUUGGAAAGACACUGACAACUUGGCCCCUCCACCCCUGCCUCCAGACCUUCCGUGGACACGCUUAAUCACUGCAAGAGCAGCCUGUGCCGUGCUUGGUGAGAUGAGAACCAGAGCUUUAUCAGGAAUAACAUUAUGCAAAUGACUAUGCAAAUGCCAACCAGAAGAGUACAGUAUCUGGAAAAAAAGUUCAGAUAAAACCUUCAGAACACAUCCAAAGUUGGCUGGAAAAAAGAACUGAACAUUUUAAACUAUAAGGUCACCAUGGUAGCAAAGGGAAUUUAUUACUAAUAAGAAUUUUGCA